AAGGAUCAUUAGCAAGAUUGACCUUGUAGAAUCCUCCAUGUAAAAGUGGUUGUGUUUUGCAAGGCAAGUAUGCCAUCCUUGUGUUAUGUCAACCACCUGUUAGAGUGCCUUUGGUUUAGAGACCGUAGGCAUUCUCUCUCUUAAAAACACUCUUAUAUCUUCUGAACCUCUUUUUGCUUGGAAACAGGCAUCAAAAACAAUCGAAAACUGCCAGCAAUGGAUCACUCGGUUCUC
RNAcentral lists this unclassified non-coding RNA (234 nucleotides) under uncultured fungus. Its description in RNAcentral is "partial contains 18S rRNA, ITS1, 5.8S rRNA, ITS2 and 28S rRNA". Lineage: Eukaryota; Fungi. The record is from RNAcentral.